RNAcentral lists this transfer RNA (75 nucleotides) under Verticillium nonalfalfae. RNAcentral describes it as "tRNA-Val". It matches the Rfam family "tRNA". From Rfam's summary of the family: Transfer RNA (tRNA) molecules are approximately 80 nucleotides in length. Their secondary structure includes four short double-helical elements and three loops (D, anti-codon, and T loops). Lineage: Eukaryota; Fungi; Ascomycota; Sordariomycetes; Glomerellales; Plectosphaerellaceae. The record is from RNAcentral.
AAGAAAUUAGCUCAGUGGUAGAGCAGCCGUUUUACACACGGAAGGUCGAGUGUUCAAAUCACUUAUUUCUUAUCA